RNAcentral lists this ribosomal RNA (264 nucleotides) under Enterobacter cloacae. RNAcentral's name for it is "partial 23S ribosomal RNA". It matches the Rfam family "Bacterial large subunit ribosomal RNA", at positions 1 to 272 of the family's 2925-position model. Lineage: Bacteria; Pseudomonadati; Pseudomonadota; Gammaproteobacteria; Enterobacterales; Enterobacteriaceae. The record is from RNAcentral.
GCGACUAAGCGUACACGGUGGAUGCCCUGGCAGUCAGAGGCGAUGAAGGACGUGCUAAUCUGCGAAAAGCGCCGGCGAGGUGAUAUGAACCCUUGACCCGGCGAUGUCCGAAUGGGGAAACCCAGUGCAAUCCGUUGCACUAUCGUUAACUGAAUACAUAGGUUAACGAGGCGAACCGGGGGAACUGAAACAUCUAAGUACCCCGAGGAAAAGAAAUCAACCGAGAUUCCCCCAGUAGCGGCGAGCGAACGGGGAGCAGCCCAG